This 71-nucleotide transfer RNA is filed under the name Rattus norvegicus (Norway rat). It matches the Rfam family "tRNA". Rfam says of the family: Transfer RNA (tRNA) molecules are approximately 80 nucleotides in length. Lineage: Eukaryota; Metazoa; Chordata; Mammalia; Rodentia; Muridae. The record is from Rfam by way of RNAcentral.
UGGGGUGUGGCUUAGUCGUAGCGCACUUGCCUAGUAUGCAGGAAGCCUAGGUUCCAUCCCUAGCACCGCAU